UAGGGAGUAUUAGUAAUGGGCGAAAGCCUGAACUAGCGACACCGCGUGUGCGAAGAAGGCCUUCGGGUUGUAAAGCACUUUUAGAGAGGAUGAGGAAGGACGGUACUCUCUGAAUAAGUCUCGGCUAACUACGUGCCAGCAGCCGCGGUAACACGUAGGAGGCAAACGUUAUCCGGAUUUACUGGGCGUAAAGCGCGUGUAGGUGGUUCUGUAAGUAGGGCGUGAAAGCUCCCGGCUCAACUGGGAGAGGCCGUUCUAAACUGCAGAGCUAGAGGAUGGUAGAGGGAGGUGGAAUUCCGGGUGUAGCGGUGGAAUGCGCAGAUAUCCGGAGGAACACCAGUGGCGAAGGCGACCUCCUGGGCCACUCCUGACACUCAGGCGCGAAAGCUAGGGUAGCAACCGG
This 403-nucleotide ribosomal RNA is filed under the name uncultured bacterium. RNAcentral's name for it is "bacterial SSU rRNA". It matches the Rfam family "Bacterial small subunit ribosomal RNA", at positions 355 to 775 of the family's 1533-position model. The record is from RNAcentral.